CUAUCAGCUUGUUGGUGGGGUAAUGGCNUACCCAAGGCGACGACGGGUAGCCGCCCUGAGAGGGUGUCCGGCCACACUGGGACUGAGAUACGGCCCCAGACUCCUACGGGAGGCAGCAGUGGGGAAUAUUGCACAAUGGGCGCAAGCCUGAUGCAGCGACGCCGCGUGAGGGAUGACGGCCUUCGGGUUGUAAACCUCUUUCAGCAGGGACGAAGCGCAAGUGACGGUACCUGUAGAAGAAGCACCGGCCAACUACGUGCCAGCAGCCGCGGUAAUACGUAGGGUGCGAGCGUUGUCNGGAAUUACUGGGCGUAAAGAGCUCGUAGGUGGUUUGUCGCGUUGUUCGUGAAAACUCACAGCUCAACUGUGGGCGUGCGGGCGAUACGGGCAGACUUGAGUACUGCAGGGGAGACUGGAAUUCCUGGUGUAGCGGUGGAAUGCGCAGAUAUCAGGAGGAACACCGGUGGCGAAGGCGGGUCUCUGGGCAGUAACUGACGCUGAGGAGCGAAAGCGUGGGGAGCGAACAGGAUUAGAUACCCUGGUAGUCCACGCCGUAAACGGUGGGUCU
Molecule: ribosomal RNA, 568 nt
Filed under: Mycobacterium sp. Pd-E-(r)-m-D-1(5)
Lineage: Bacteria; Bacillati; Actinomycetota; Actinomycetes; Mycobacteriales; Mycobacteriaceae
Description: bacterial SSU rRNA
Rfam family: Bacterial small subunit ribosomal RNA
Source: RNAcentral